Hyaena hyaena (striped hyena) is the source of this 104-nucleotide small nuclear RNA. The record is from RefSeq and is a predicted model, not a curated record. Lineage: Eukaryota; Metazoa; Chordata; Mammalia; Carnivora; Hyaenidae.
GUGCUGGCUUUGGCAGGGCACGUACUGUAAAGUUGGAAAACUACAGAGAAGCUUACCAUGGUCCCGCACAAGGAUGCCACGCGGAUCUGUGAGGCAUUCCGUUU